Molecule: long non-coding RNA, 130 nt
Organism: Sinocyclocheilus anshuiensis
Lineage: Eukaryota; Metazoa; Chordata; Actinopteri; Cypriniformes; Cyprinidae
Exons: 3
Source: RefSeq, a predicted model, not a curated record
AUGCCGGCUGUUCUGACUCACAGACUGUAAGUACGUUUUUCAUAAAAAAUUUGCCACAUACGAUUCAAACGCGAGGUUUGAGCAGAGUAGAGUAGGGCUUGCUGUUGACAAUUCUCAGAUUACAAAUGCA